AGUCGAGCGGAACGAGUUGUCUGAACCUUCGGGGAACGAUAACGGCGUCGAGCGGCGGACGGGUGAGUAAUGCCUGGGAAAUUGCCCUGAUGUGGGGGAUAACCAUUGGAAACGAUGGCUAAUACCGCAUAAUAGCUUCGGCUCAAAGAGGGGGACCUUCGGGCCUCUCGCGUCAGGAUAUGCCCAGGUGGGAUUAGCUAGUUGGUGAGGUAAGGGCUCACCAAGGCGACGAUCCCUAGCUGGUCUGAGAGGAUGAUCAGCCACACUGGAACUGAGACACGGUCCAGACUCCUACGGGAGGCAGCAGUGGGGAAUAUUGCACAAUGGGCGCAAGCCUGAUGCAGCCAUGCCGCGUGUAUGAAGAAGGCCUUCGGGUUGUAAAGUACUUUCAGCAGUGAGGAAGGCGGGUGUGUUAAUAGCACAUUCGUUUGACGUUAGCUGCAGAAGAAGCACCGGCUAACUCCGUGCCAGCAGCCGCGGUAAUACGGAGGGUGCGAGCGUUAAUCGGAAUUACUGGGCGUAAAGCGCAUGCAGGUGGUUUGUUAAGUCAGAUGUGAAAGCCCGGGGCUCAACCUCGGAAUUGCAUUUGAAACUGGCAGACUAGAGUACUGUAGAGGGGGGUAGAAUUUCAGGUGUAGCGGUGAAAUGCGUAGAGAUCUGAAGGAAUACCGGUGGCGAAAGGCGGCCCCCUGGACAGAUACUGACACUCAGAUGCGAAAGCGUGGGGAGCAAACAGGAUUAGAUACCCUGGUAGUCCACGCCGUAAACGAUGUCUACUUGGAGGUUGUGGCCUUGAGCCGUGGCUUUCGGAGCUAACGCGUUAAGUAGACCGCCUGGGGAGUACGGUCGCAAGAUUAAAACUCAAAUGAAUUGACGGGGGCCCGCACAAGCGGUGGAGCAUGUGGUUUAAUUCGAUGCAACGCGAAGAACCUUACCUACUCUUGACAUCCUCAGAAGCUUGUAGAGAUACGAGUGUGCCUUCGGGAACUGAGAGACAGGUGCUGCAUGGCUGUCGUCAGCUCGUGUUGUGAAAUGUUGGGUUAAGUCCCGCAACGAGCGCAACCCUUAUCCUUGUUUGCCAGCACUUCGGGUGGGAACUCCAGGGAGACUGCCGGUGAGUAAAACCGGAGGAAGGUGGGGACGACGUCAAGUCAUCAUGGCCCUUACGAGUAGGGCUACACACGUGCUACAAUGGCGCAUACAGAGGGCGGCCAACUUGCGAGAGUGAGCGAAUCCCAAAAAGUGCGUCGUAGUCCGGAUU
This 1261-nucleotide ribosomal RNA is filed under the name Vibrio sinaloensis. RNAcentral describes it as "bacterial SSU rRNA". It matches the Rfam family "Bacterial small subunit ribosomal RNA", at positions 60 to 1299 of the family's 1533-position model. The record is from RNAcentral. Lineage: Bacteria; Pseudomonadati; Pseudomonadota; Gammaproteobacteria; Vibrionales; Vibrionaceae.